GCUCCAGUGGCGCAAUCGGUCAGCGCGCGGUACUUAUAAGACAGUCACCUGUGAAGUGAUGCCGAGGUUGUGAGUUCAAGCCUCACCUGGAGCA
RNAcentral lists this transfer RNA (94 nucleotides) under Poecilia formosa (Amazon molly). It matches the Rfam family "tRNA". Rfam says of the family: Transfer RNA (tRNA) molecules are approximately 80 nucleotides in length. Their secondary structure includes four short double-helical elements and three loops (D, anti-codon, and T loops). Lineage: Eukaryota; Metazoa; Chordata; Actinopteri; Cyprinodontiformes; Poeciliidae. The record is from Rfam by way of RNAcentral.